This 429-nucleotide ribosomal RNA is filed under the name Chloroflexota bacterium. RNAcentral's name for it is "Chloroflexi bacterium partial 16S ribosomal RNA". It matches the Rfam family "Bacterial small subunit ribosomal RNA", at positions 355 to 776 of the family's 1533-position model. Lineage: Bacteria; Bacillati; Chloroflexota. The record is from RNAcentral.
UGGGGAACAUUGCACAAUGGGCGCAAGCCUGAUGCAGCCAUGCCGCGUGUGUGAAGAAGGCCUUCGGGUUGUAAAGCACUUUCAGCGGGGAGGAAGGCGAUAAGGUUAAUAACCUUGUCGAUUGACGUUACCCGCAGAAGAAGCACCGGCUAACUCCGUGCCAGCAGCCGCGGUAAUACGGAGGGUGCAAGCGUUAAUCGGAAUUACUGGGCGUAAAGCGCACGCAGGCGGUCUGUCAAGUCGGAUGUGAAAUCCCCGGGCUCAACCUGGGAACUGCAUUCGAAACUGGCAGGCUAGAGUCUUGUAGAGGGGGGUAGAAUUCCAGGUGUAGCGGUGAAAUGCGUAGAGAUCUGGAGGAAUACCGGUGGCGAAGGCGGCCCCCUGGACAAAGACUGACGCUCAGGUGCGAAAGCGUGGGGAGCAAACAGG